AUUGAACGCUGGCGGCAUGCUUUACACAUGCAAGUCGAACGGUAACAGGGAGCUUGCUCCGCUGACGAGUGGCGAACGGGCGAGUAAUGCGUCGGAACGUGCCGAGUAGUGGGGGAUAACGCAGCGAAAGUUGUGCUAAUACCGCAUACGUACUGAGGUAGAAAGUGGGGGACCUUCGGGCCUCACGCUAUUCGAGCGGCCGACGUCUGAUUAGCUAGUAGGUGAGGUAAAGGCUCACCUAGGCGACGAUCAGUAGCGGGUCUGAGAGGAUGAUCCGCCACACUGGGACUGAGACACGGCCCAGACUCCUACGGGAGGCAGCAGUGGGGAAUUUUGGACAAUGGGCGAAAGCCUGAUCCAGCCAUGCCGCGUGUCUGAAGAAGGCCUUCGGGUUGUAAAGGACUUUUGUCGGGGAGGAAAUCCCCAGCGCCAAUACCGCUGGGGGAUGACAGUACCUGAAGAAUAAGCACCGGCUAACUACGUGCCAGCAGCCGCAGUAA
This 500-nucleotide ribosomal RNA is filed under the name uncultured bacterium. Its description in RNAcentral is "partial 16S ribosomal RNA". It matches the Rfam family "Bacterial small subunit ribosomal RNA", at positions 30 to 523 of the family's 1533-position model. The record is from RNAcentral.